This 253-nucleotide ribosomal RNA is filed under the name uncultured bacterium. RNAcentral's name for it is "partial 16S ribosomal RNA". It matches the Rfam family "Bacterial small subunit ribosomal RNA", at positions 524 to 776 of the family's 1533-position model. The record is from RNAcentral.
UACGUAGGGAGCAAGCGUUGUCCGGAAUCAUUGGGCGUAAAGUGCGCGUAGGCGGCCCGAUAAGUCCGCUGUAAAAGUCAACGGCUCAACUGUUGAAAGCCGGUGGAUACUGUCGGGCUAGAGUACGGAAGAGGCAAGCGGAAUUCCUGGUGUAGCGGUGGAAUGCGCAGAUAUCAGGAGGAACACCGGUGGCGAAGGCGGGUCUCUGGGCAGUAACUGACGCUGAGGAGCGAAAGCGUGGGGAGCGAACAGG